AUGAUCGGACGACUGAAUCUCCAGGAGAGAGAAGAGGAUGAUCUGAACUUUGAUGAGGAAUUCCCAGAUGAAGUGGAGGAAGCUGAAUUCAUGGCGCUUGCUACUGUUCAUAUGAAUAAACCUUUUAGUAGAGGCUCCUUCUAUGAUACGAUGAAGAUGGCAUGGAGCCUGGCACAGGGGGUAACCUUUAGUGCCCUCGGGGAGAAUUUGUUCGCGCUCACGGUGAACUGCUUGGGUGACUGGAAGAGAGUAACAGAGGAGGGGCCAUGGUUAUUCCGGGACCAUGGAGUCUUGAUCGAAAAAUAUGAUGGAUACUCAAGAUAUGAAGAGGUGAUCCUGGACAGAUUGGCUGUGUGGGUGCAGAUCGUUGAUCUUCCCCCUUUGUAUAGGAAGGAUCCUGUUAUACGAUCUUUGGCCAAGAAGAUCGGCAAAGUGGAGUCAGUAAUGCUUAAUCCU
Molecule: ribosomal RNA, 456 nt
Filed under: Triticum aestivum (bread wheat)
Lineage: Eukaryota; Viridiplantae; Streptophyta; Magnoliopsida; Poales; Poaceae
Description: partial small subunit ribosomal RNA
Source: RNAcentral